UGUAGUUUAGGUUAGUUUUGAACUCACUAUGUAGCCCAGGCUAGCCUCAAACACAUGGCAAUAACAUAGAUUAUUUUAUACUUAGAAAAAACUGCAACUUUUAACUUGUAAUUAUAUGCAGUAUGAAUCAAUUGUUGCAAGCUUUCCAAGAAGACAUUUCAUUAUUUUAUAUUAAAACUAAGGCAGUAAAACUGCACAUAAGCAUAAUGGGAAAUAAAAGUAAACUGAUGUAGAAUUUCUUGACUACAUAGACAGUUUGAAGUAGGUCUUACUACCUUGCAAAUAUCUGACUCCAAGAAUGCCUUUUUGUGUGUAGCUUUCAAAGAUGCUUCCAGAGUCAUGAUCAGUCUUUGUUAGUAUCAACCUGAUUAAAGGGAAAUGUAUGCAUAAUAUAAAAUAAUUUUCUUAAAUUACCUAGGGAUUACAUCUGUUUUCUAAUCAAUGCUGCAAUAUGAAUGCAUGACAAUUAGGGCCAGUCUGACCUCCACAGAUAUUGGUAGAAAAAAUUGAAACAAAACACUCCACAUUAUACUAAAUCAGAAAAUAGAUAUCUGUCUCUAUUUUAUGCUUCAAAUUUGAUAGUACAAAAUACAUAUAUACCUGAUAUCUCAGGAUCAUUAUAUUUGUGUCACCUAAUGACUAAUUAGGUUGAUAUUGUCUUCCUCUCCUCUUGAAACCAUCUGCUUGAGGAAAAAAAUUACCAUUCCAGAAUAAAAAGUGUUUUAGCCAAGCAGUAAGGAGUUUAAGUUUAAAUGCUCUUAGCACUUUUCAUAAAAAGGCACAACUUGCUAACUCAAAUCGAAAGUAGAUAACCUCGUGAAAUCCUCUUCAGCACCUUCUACAGUCUGUGUUAAAUUCAGUUAAAAAGGUGAAUUCCAUAAAAGCCAAAGAAAUCCAUUUGAAACUUGGGGUGUGGCCUGAGGAUGUAGCUCAGUGGCAUGGCCCCUGCCUGACAAGCAUGAGGUCCUGAGUUCACUUCCCAGUUCUGAAAAAAAAAGGAAACUUGGGGAGCUACCACUCAACAGAGAUUUCAGUUCAGUACUAGCAGCUCAAAUAUUCAGGUAAAAGUCACUAAAGUGAACUGGUGAGCUUCAGUUACACUGCAUAUGAUGUCCAUAUGGGUUUUUUGCUUGGAGGGAGGAGGACAAGUCAAGUGUUGCAAAGAAAGGAAAAUACUUUAAUUAGGGGGACCAUGGGGUCUCUCAGAAGAAUGAAAAUUUGAGCUCAGACCUGACAGAAGUGAGACCAUGUAAUGAUCUAGAGGAAAUGCUCCACAAAGAGGAAAACUCAAGUCCACCGACUCUGAAGUGGGAGCAAGCUUAGAGAAAACACCAAGAAGGCCCACGCGGCCAGAGCAGUGUGAGACACAGUCCUGGACACAGAGCAGGCCCAGCUCUGGAGUGAUGGGAAGCUCAGGCUGCCCAGACUAGCCUACCUGGGCUCCGACGGGGGAUGUGCCUUUCCCUGAUGUCAGUUCCUUCCAUGCUUGAUGCUAAUGAGCAGAACAUUUGAUGCAGAGUGCAUGUCUGACUGCACCAUACGUGAUCUUCACAGGGAAGCAGAGGAUACAGGUGAACGGUACAGUCGGCGUCACCCUCCAGCUUUCCCCAGCGUACAGCCCAAGCACACUGUGUUCUUCUAAUCCUAAACCUGCUUGUCAGCAAGUGAUCUCAUUCUGUGCAGCACAGGAAUGUCCCAACUCCUAACCACACCACCAACAGCCCGGCUGAAUCCAAGCGGACUUUGUGUAGCUCUGUUUCACAUUCAUCUCUAUUGCAUUUAAAUAAUACCAUUGCUACUGGGGAAGGUGAAAGGUUAAUUUCAGGGUGACCCAGAGGAAAGUAAACACAACUGGAACUGUCUUUGGUUCAAUUCCAACUGUGUCUUCUUUUUCCAACACAUCUUGGAAGAGAAAUGAAGAUCAUUACAUAGUUCCAUCUCCUUAGGAAGGCAGCCUGGACAGUCUGUGCUUCAGUGAAGCUGAAAUCCUGUCCUAACUACAGCCAUUCUAUUCUAUGCCACUGAACUCAGCUACAUCAUAGGAUUUGGCAUCAAAUUGAAACUUCUGUGAAUGUGCUAAUAACAACUUUGCUAUAUACAUCUGUGCCCACCAGAAGAUACCCAUUGAACCAUAGCCUUCAGCUAAGCUUACCUAGAUUUUUUUGUACCUCCUACUUGCCACCCUAUAGAAAAGUUAAACUCUGUAAUCAGUGCCUCAGACUUUGCAGAUUACUCUUCUGGGGACCAGUGGCUUUAAUAAAGUUGUCUUUCUUCUCCUGAGCUCCUGGCUACUGUUGACUCAGUUUUCCUGCAACAUGAGCAGGAUUCUUGGUCCUCAGGAAAGACAUGCAGUUGGAUCCUCAUUCUCAGGAGUGGUCUCUGUGAUUUGUCUCUUUGUGAGAUCAGCCAGUAUAGCCAUGGAGGAAACCACGGAAGCACCAUGUCCUUUAGUAUACUGCUCAGUCCCUUUUUGGGUCCCUUGGGGUCUUCUGGGAAGCACAUGCUAAAGGGAGUCCAAAGUUCAGAAGAAUUCCUGGGAAAGAUGAAGGAGAGAGGGAAGGGAAGGGAAGCCUCAGACACAUUGCAGGCUAUUUGUGAAGGGGGAGGAGGGCAGGGGGAGGAUGGAGGAGGAGAACCUCAUUAUGUAAAGACAAUGGGGAGAAAGUCCCAAAACCCCAAGAGGAGCUCCUGGAAGGAUAAGGCAUUGGCUGAGCCUGUGCCAGGACCGCACAGAUGGGCUCAAGUGAGAUGGACAUUGCUGAGCUCAUGUUGGCUGGCUGCAGUCCUCGCUCAGGCUCUCCGUCAAAGGGGUCUGGGCAGCACAUCUCAAGCCUACCACACCGUCAGGUUUCAAGCUCAGCCUCCUGUGUAGCUGUCAGUUGGCUUUUGCUGUAUAACAAACCAACCUAAAACAGGAACGGAACAAAAAUAAAUACAUAAAAAUAUAUUUUUGGAGUUUUUUUUUUUUAAAUAGGGUCUCUCUAUGUAGUCCAUGCUGGCCUUAAACUCACUAUGUAGUCCACUGAACAUGAUCUUGGAGCCAAAUCCAAAACAACAGACUUCACUCUCUUCCAGAGCCUGUUAUGGCUUGUGUCUAGAUGUCCCGCCAAAGCCUCAUGAGGUCUAAGGUGGGGCUUUUGAGAAGUGGCUGGAUCUAGAAUGUGUGAUCGGUUCAUGGUGCAAUGUUGGGAGUAGGGAUGUGUGAUUACUAAAUCCGUCCACUGAGUAAUUUGGCACUGCCCAAUCCUGGUAGCCUAGAUAGAGUAUAAAAGGGACAAAAAAGCUGCUAAAGCCCCUGGUUGCUUUUGCUACGUUCUGUCUGCUAUGAACUGUUCUGCUCUGCCAAGCCACCCUGCCUUGGGGCUAGCCAAUUAUGGACUGAAAGCUUUAUAAAAUGUGCACUAAAUAAACCUUACCCCCCUUUAACUUCGAGUGUCAGGUAUUUUGUCUCAGCCACAAGAAAAGUGACUAAGACAGAGCCCCUUACCUUCUCUAAAUAUAAAGAAAAAUUAUUAAAGUAAGUCCAGCAGAAGAGAAAGUAAUAAUCUGGAUGAGCUCUAUCUUAGCUUCUGCAGAAAAAAAAGGAACAACAGUAAGAAGAAAUCUUUCGGAACAGCCACAGACGCCACACAGAAAACAACUGCUGCUAGCACCCGUGGGCUUCGUGUCAUUUUCCUAUCAAGAGAUCCAACCAACAGCGCCCAGCCACAGGUCUCAGCAUCACCAUUCCCGUCACACACAUCUCCCACACCUGAGUACGGGAAGCCCCCAAUUUAUGAACAUUCGAGUUGUGCACUGUCACAGAUAAAAACAGGCCUCCCAUUGUGAACAUUCGUAGAUGUGAACAAAUCAUAUGUGUGAAGUAGCUCAUGCGUCUGCUGGACAUUGCCGUGGUGCUGCUGUGUGCUUAUGGUGCAGUGAGAUAGUGUACGGUAGCACAGUCCUCAGUCAGAGCCCAGGAAGUCCAGAAGCAAGAGGAAAAGCAGUGGGGAUGUGGAAGGACUGCUAGGAAGCACAGGGCAGUAACCAUGCAGUCCCCUGUAUGCCAGCUGUUCUGUAACACCAUUGUAAAGUAACUGUAAAAGUAAAAAUAGUACAUUUAUAUUA
Chinchilla lanigera (long-tailed chinchilla) is the source of this 4107-nucleotide long non-coding RNA. RefSeq lists it as uncharacterized. The record is from RefSeq and is a predicted model, not a curated record. The transcript has 2 exons. Lineage: Eukaryota; Metazoa; Chordata; Mammalia; Rodentia; Chinchillidae.